Molecule: microRNA precursor, 114 nt
Filed under: Morus notabilis
Lineage: Eukaryota; Viridiplantae; Streptophyta; Magnoliopsida; Rosales; Moraceae
Description: mir-399 microRNA precursor family
Rfam family: mir-399 microRNA precursor family
About the family: mir-399 was identified in both Arabidopsis thaliana and Oryza sativa computationally and was later experimentally verified. mir-399 is thought to target mRNAs coding for a phosphatase transporter. The mature sequence is excised from the 3' arm of the hairpin.
Source: Rfam by way of RNAcentral
GGAAGGAUCACAGGGCAAAUGCUCCUCCGGCAGGUAGCCACUGAUCGACGGAGCUUCAUGCAUUCAUCUUUUAGUGUGCCCUCUGCCAAAGGAGAUUUGCCCGGCUAUACUUCU